RNAcentral lists this ribosomal RNA (449 nucleotides) under uncultured bacterium. RNAcentral describes it as "partial 16S ribosomal RNA". It matches the Rfam family "Bacterial small subunit ribosomal RNA", at positions 29 to 523 of the family's 1533-position model. The record is from RNAcentral.
AACGAACGCUGGCGGCAGGCUUAACACAUGCAAGUCGAACGAUGUAGCAAUACAUAGUGGCGCACGGGUGAGUAACGCGUGGGAACGUGCCUUUUAGUUUGGAAUAACACCGGGAAACUGGUGCUAAUGCCAAAUACGCCCUUCGGGGGAAAGAUUUAUCGCUAAAAGAUCGGCCCGCGUCAGGUUAGCUAGUUGGUGGGGUAAUGGCCUACCAAGGCUCCGAUCUGUAGCUGUUCUGAGAGGAAGAUCAGCCACACUGGAACUGAGACACGGUCCAGACUCCGACGGGAGGCAGCAGUGGGGAAUAUUGGACAAUGGGGGAAACCCUGAUCCAGCCAUGCCGCGUGAGUGAUGAAGGCCUUAGGGUUGUAAAGCUCUUUUACCAGGGAAGAUGAUGACGAUACCUGGAGAAUAAGCACCGGCUAACUUCGUGCCAGCCGCCGCAGUAA